AUACAACGAUAAUAAAUCAUGAACUUGUUAGUUUUGACUUUACCAUUUGACGCUACCAUUCUCCUCGGCUCCGGUGAACGGUUUGGAACAGAGUCAGAGGGUGAAUGGACGCAGAGAGGAUGGAGAGGAAACAGAGAGGGUAGAGAGGAAGCAGAGAGGAUGGAGAGGAUGCAGAGAGGUUGAAGAGGAAGCAGAGAAGGUGGAGAGGAAGCAGGGAGGGUGGAGAGGAAGCAGAGAGGAUGGAGAGGAAGCAGAGAGGGUGGAGAGGAAGCAGAGAGAGUGAGAGGAAGCAGAGAGGAUGGAGAGGAAGCAGAGAGGUGGAGAGGAAGGAGAGAGGGUGGAGAGGAAGCAGAGAGAGUGGAGAGGAAGGAGAGAGGUUGGAGAGAAGCAGAGAGGAUGUAGAGGAAAAGGCCAGGUGGAGCAGAAAGGGAAAGAGCACUCAAAAAGAAAGCCCUCUAAAAAGAAGCCGCGAAAAUGUAACAAAAUUACCGACCAGUUCAGGGCUUCAAAUGUAGGUCAGACUCAUCUGUAAAUACUGUAGCUUUGUGUUCGCUAACUUAGCUAAUCAAUUAUUAACCACAGUUUCACUACUAGCAAACGUUAGCACUAUUAUCAUCACUCAAAAUACACUAAAGGACAACAUUAUCUACUGUAUAGAUAUAAUAAUGUCUAAUUUUGCAGACAAAUGUCCAAAUUUAUGUACAGUACAUUAAGUGAGAGCUCCAUGUUGGUAUUUUUAAAUGUUGAAAUUACAAAUACAGCUAGGGCAAACAACAACAAACACUUUUCCAAGCUGUGAGUCAUAAAAGGUAAUAUCAUGUUCAAUAUUAGGAUUUUUCUAAAUAGAUAGUCAUGAUGUAGUUAGUAUUGUACUAACAGAUAUU
Ictalurus punctatus (channel catfish) is the source of this 884-nucleotide long non-coding RNA. Lineage: Eukaryota; Metazoa; Chordata; Actinopteri; Siluriformes; Ictaluridae. The record is from Ensembl.